This 250-nucleotide ribosomal RNA is filed under the name uncultured bacterium. Its description in RNAcentral is "partial 16S ribosomal RNA". It matches the Rfam family "Bacterial small subunit ribosomal RNA", at positions 524 to 773 of the family's 1533-position model. The record is from RNAcentral.
UACGGAGGGUGCUAGCAUUAAUCGGAUUUAUUGGGCGUAAAGGGCGCGUAGGCGGGGAUGAAAGUCAGAUGUGAAAUCCCGGGGCUCAACCUCGGAACAGCAUUUGAAACUUCAUCUCUUGAGGGUAGGCGGAGAAAACAGAAUUCCACAAGUAGCGGUGAAAUGCGUAGAUAUGUGGAAGAAUACCGGUGGCGAAGGCGGUUUUCUAGCUUAUUCCUGACGCUGAUGCGCGAAAGCAAGGGGAUCAAAC